Molecule: ribosomal RNA, 253 nt
Filed under: uncultured bacterium
Lineage: Bacteria
Description: partial 16S ribosomal RNA
Rfam family: Bacterial small subunit ribosomal RNA
Source: RNAcentral
UACAGAGGGUGCAAGCGUUGUUCGGAAUUAUUGGGCGUAAAGAGCGUGUAGGCGGCCAGGUAGGUCGGUUGUGAAAACUGGAGGCUCAACCUUCAGAGGUCGACCGAAACCAUCUGGCUAGAGUCCGGGAGAGGAGAGUGGAAUUCCUGGUGUAGCGGUGAAAUGCGCAGAUAUCAGGAAGAACACCCGUGGCGAAAGCGGCUCUCUGGAACGGUACUGACGCUGAGACGCGAAAGCGUGGGGAGCGAACAGG